GGAUUUGUGCCUGAUAAAAAGGGCUACUUUGAUAGAGUAGAUAUAAGGGUGAAAACCCCUUCAACUUCC
Molecule: transfer RNA, 69 nt
Filed under: Rachovia maculipinnis
Lineage: Eukaryota; Metazoa; Chordata; Actinopteri; Cyprinodontiformes; Rivulidae
Description: tRNA-Ile
Source: RNAcentral